GACGAACGCUGGCGGCAUGCCUAACACAUGCAAGUCGAACGAGACCUUCCGGUCUUUUGGCGCACGGGUGCGUAACGCCUGGGAACCUGCCCUUAGGUUCGCUGUCCCUCCCCGAGAGGGGUCCUAAUGCCGCUUAAGGUCUUCCCACCUAAGAUUUCUCGCCUUUGGGUGGGGCCUGGUUGGAUUCGCUGGUUGGUAGGGUAAAAGCCUACCAUGGCGACGAUCCAUAGCUGGUCUGAGAGGAGGACCAGCCACACUGGGGCUGAGACACGGCCCAGACUCGUACGCGAGGGAGGAGUGGGGAAUAUUGGACAAUGGGGGAAAGCCUGAUCCAGCAAUGCCGGGGGAGUGAUGAAGGCCGUAGGGUUCUAAAGCUCUUUUACCCGGGAUGAUAAUGACGGUACCGGGAGAAUAAGCACCGGCUAACUCCGUG
RNAcentral lists this ribosomal RNA (433 nucleotides) under uncultured bacterium. RNAcentral's name for it is "partial 16S ribosomal RNA". It matches the Rfam family "Bacterial small subunit ribosomal RNA", at positions 28 to 507 of the family's 1533-position model. The record is from RNAcentral.